RNAcentral lists this ribosomal RNA (332 nucleotides) under uncultured rumen bacterium. RNAcentral describes it as "bacterial SSU rRNA". It matches the Rfam family "Bacterial small subunit ribosomal RNA", at positions 19 to 363 of the family's 1533-position model. The record is from RNAcentral.
UUGGCUCAGGAUGAACGCUGGCGGCGUGUCUUAUACAUGCAAGUCGAGCGACGUAGCAAUACGUAGCGGCGAACGGGUGAGUAACGCGCAAGCAAUCUGCCCCAUAUCAGGAAAUACCCGUGCCAACGCGCGGUUAAUGUCCAGGAGAGUGGCCAGCUGCAUGGUUGGUUGACUAGAGAUUUAUCGGUAUGGGAUGAGCUUGCGUCCGAUUAGCUAGUUGGCGGGGCAACGGCCCACCAAGGCGACGAUCGGUAGCCGGCCUGAGAGGGUGAUCGGCCACAUUGGGACUGAGAUACGGCCCAGACUCCUACGGGAGGCAGCAGUGGGGAAUA